UGUUUUUUAAAAAUUGUGGUAAAAUACACAUAACAUAGUAUUUGCUAUCUUAACCAUUUUUAAGUGUGUAGUUUCAGAGUAUUCAGAAUAUUUACAUUGCUGAGCAGCCAUUCUCCAGAACUUUUUCAUUUGGCAGAACCAGAAUGCUACACUCAUCAACCAACUCACCAUUUCCCCCUUCCCCCAGCCCCUGGCAACCACCAUUCUACUUUUUGUCUCUUGUGAAUCUCUAGAUGCCUCAUAUCAGUUUGUCUUUUUGUGACUGGUUUAUUUCACUUAGCAUAAUAGCCUCAAGGUUCAUCCAUGGUAUAGCAUGUGGUAGAAUUUUCUUCCUUUUAAAGGCUAAAGACUAUUUCAUUGUACUUAUAUACCACACUUUGCUUAGCCAUUCUUCUGUUAAUGGAUAUUGGAUUGCUUCCAUGUUUUGGCUCUUGUGAACAAUGCUGCUGUGCACAUGAGUGUACUACCAAUAUUUUUCUCUAAGAAAAAUUAUUUCCUCUAGAGAUACUCUUGUUUCCUUGGAAAACUUGAGCCAGGGUCUGUUAGAAAACUCUUUAAGGCCUCCUUUAGUCUUACCCAUUGAAAUAGUUCAGCGUAUGGAAUAAAGCCAAUACCCAUAAAGUUGAAAUAUUCUUGUAGACUAGAACAAAGGUGAAGAUAAGAGACUACACAAGACACUGAAAAUACAAAGUGGCAAAAGUGUGGAGUUUGGUGUGACCAACCACUCUUUCUGUGGCUCAGGGAGAAUCACUUCAUAGUCUCAAUCUCCGCCAUCCCAUCUCUAAAAUGGGGGUGGAUAUAUUUUAAUUUCCUUGUCUCUUAAGAUUUGAAACCUUAAUGAUUUGAGAUAUUAUAUAACACACAGGUGGCAGAAGUCUGACAGUUUUCAUUACUAUUGCUAAGCUCUGUGAGGGCAGAACUGGGUUCUCUUUGCGUCACCAUCCCUAGUGCCUGACAGUGCUGGGCACGGGGUAAGUACCUCUAAAUGUUUGUUGACUGGUGGAUAUUUGCCAUGGGGAUUCGGACCUUCCUCUAAUAGUUAGAAAGCUUGUAUGAGCCAGGAUUGCUUUGAUGUAGGUAUGAUAUCUGAAACUAUUUAUAAAUUAUAACUCAUAUGUAUGAAAUCUGUUUCUCUUAGCAAUUUUGGAAUGUGAGUUUAUUGCUGAACACCACUGUUUUCUAAAAGAGAAGUUUCCAUAGAAUAUUCCAGAGAUCCGUUGCCUAACAAUCUUGCCUUCUCUCCGUUUUCCUGUGACUGAAACAGAAGUUCAGAUGAAAAACUCUAUUAUGCUAGCAUGGCUUUCUUCUAAGGAUGCAUUGACUCCUUGGAUCCUUACAAGUCAUGGAUGUUCCUCUUAGAAAUAAGGCCUUUCCUACUCCUGCCCUAAUACAUGUCCCUGGAAUUGGUCCUCUCCAAACAUCAUCGUCACCAUUAUCUUCAUCAUAGCUGCAAUUAAUUGGCAAUUCCAGGAGAAAGAUCCAAGGCUAAAGUGAACUCUCAUCUUGCAUAGUUUUAUGUAACAUAAGCUGGGCGCUUUGAGGGUAGAGAGGAACUUGCUGUCUCUCUCAGUAACAAAUGGCUGGAUUAAAGGAGGAGGUACUUAAAAAAAAAAAGUUCCAUAUAAUACUUAUGUGUUAUUUCCUCUUAAAUCAGUGAUAAUGAAGCAAAUCCAGUUAAUAGAUAGUAGCUGUCUGAGAAAGUAUAGAAAAGGAAUCUGAUGCUUUUACAGGCUUAGGAGCU
This is a long non-coding RNA of Mustela erminea (ermine), 1741 nucleotides long. RefSeq lists it as uncharacterized. The record is from RefSeq and is a predicted model, not a curated record. NCBI's taxonomy places the organism in Eukaryota, Metazoa, Chordata, Mammalia, Carnivora, Mustelidae. The transcript has 2 exons.